RNAcentral lists this transfer RNA (72 nucleotides) under Diaphorina citri (Asian citrus psyllid). It matches the Rfam family "tRNA". Rfam says of the family: Transfer RNA (tRNA) molecules are approximately 80 nucleotides in length. Their secondary structure includes four short double-helical elements and three loops (D, anti-codon, and T loops). The record is from Rfam by way of RNAcentral. Lineage: Eukaryota; Metazoa; Arthropoda; Insecta; Hemiptera; Psyllidae.
GCUCCCAUGGCGUAGUCGUCACUGCGCUCGCCUUGCACGCGGGAGACCCGGGUUCGAUUCCCGGCGGGGUCA